This 608-nucleotide ribosomal RNA is filed under the name uncultured bacterium. Its description in RNAcentral is "bacterial SSU rRNA". It matches the Rfam family "Bacterial small subunit ribosomal RNA", at positions 72 to 680 of the family's 1533-position model. The record is from RNAcentral.
UGUCUAGCUUGCUAGAUGAUGUCGAGUGGCGGACGGGUGAGUAAUACUUAGGAACAUGCCUUUGGGUGGGGGAUAACUAUUGGAAACGAUAGCUAAUACCGCAUGACGUCUACGGACCAAAGGGGGCUUCGGCUCCCGCCCAGAGAGUGGCCUAAGCGAGAUUAGCUUGUUGGUGAGGUAAAGGCUCACCAAGGCGACGAUCUCUAGCUGUUCUGAGAGGAAGAUCAGCCACACUGGGACUGAGACACGGCCCAGACUCCUACGGGAGGCAGCAGUGGGGAAUAUUGCACAAUGGGGGCAACCCUGAUGCAGCCAUGCCGCGUGUGUGAAGAAGGCCUUCGGGUUGUAAAGCACUUUCAGUUGUGAGGAAAGGUUGAUGGUUAAUACCCAUCAGCUGUGACGUUAGCAACAGAAGAAGCACCGGCUAACUCCGUGCCAGCAGCCGCGGUAAUACGGAGGGUGCGAGCGUUAAUCGGAAUUACUGGGCGUAAAGCGCACGCAGGCGGUUAUAUAAGCUAGAUGUGAAAGCCCCGGGCUCAACCUGGGAAUAGCAUUUAGAACUGUAUGACUAGAGUCUUGGAGAGGGGAGUGGAAUUCCAGGUGUAGCG